CCUACGUGGCUGCAGUGGGGAAUAUUGGACAAUGGGCGAAAGCCUGAUCCAGCCAUGCCGCGUGUGUGAAGAAGGCCUUCGGGUUGUAAAGCACUUUCAGUGGGGAAGAAAGCCUUGGGGCUAAUACCCUCGAGGAAGGACAUCACCCACAGAAGAAGCACCGGCUAACUCCGUGCCAGCAGCCGCGGUAAUACGGAGGGUGCGAGCGUUAAACGGAAUUACUGGGCGUAAAGCGCGCGUAGGCGGUCUGAUAAGCCGGUUGUGAAAGCCCCGGGCUCAACCUGGGAACGGCAUCCGGAACUGUCAGGCUAGAGUGCAGGAGAGGAAGGUAGAAUUCCCGGUGUAGCGGUGAAAUGCGUAGAGAUCGGGAGGAAUACCAGUGGCGAAGGCGGCCUUCUGGACUGACACUGACGCUGAGGUGCGAAAGCGUGGGUAGCAAACAGGAUUAGAUACCCUAGUAGUC
RNAcentral lists this ribosomal RNA (463 nucleotides) under Vreelandella stevensii. Its description in RNAcentral is "partial 16S ribosomal RNA". It matches the Rfam family "Bacterial small subunit ribosomal RNA", at positions 338 to 795 of the family's 1533-position model. Lineage: Bacteria; Pseudomonadati; Pseudomonadota; Gammaproteobacteria; Oceanospirillales; Halomonadaceae. The record is from RNAcentral.